This 760-nucleotide long non-coding RNA is filed under the name Physcomitrium patens. RNAcentral's name for it is "long non-coding RNA (PPAT_LNC004767)". The record is from RNAcentral. Lineage: Eukaryota; Viridiplantae; Streptophyta; Bryopsida; Funariales; Funariaceae.
UGCAACAAAAGAAAGAGAGACCAACUUAAAAUAUUUUGCCCAUCAUCGUGGAUUUGUACUUUGAUGACUAUAGAGCUACACGUUCUUCAACACAAGACUUACUUGCAUAGUCUUUUCUUGCUGCAUCCAUCAAGGUGAAUACACUAUUAGUGCUACGAGCUGAGUUACUACAUCUAGAUGAUGUCAAUGUCCGUUUUAGAUUAAAUUGCAACGUAUUUCACAAGAAGAAGAUGCAAUAUAGAUGUCCUAUGUGGUUAACGCUCACCACAACCACAACCUAGCUGCUAAUGCAAUAGCCUAUCUAUCUGAAAGAACCUUGUCAAUCAACAAAGUUAAAUGGUUUGAAACUUGUUUAUUGUUGGUGCAUCUCUUUAGGUCAUCCAUGCUAGAUUGAUGCAGUUGAACUCCAAUUGCAGAUGUAUCUAAAGGAACAUAUACAACCUUUGAGAUAUCUUGAGAUGAAAGAAACUUCACAGCCAUACUCCUUUGGAAGCAUCCUUGGAUGAGUUAGAAAGCAAUAUCGUCUUUUAUACAAAGAAAUUGGAUAGCAAUAGGUUGCUUUUUCACUUUUUCUUUGUAUAUUCCAAGGCAGUUGAAUUUGCAAGUUGACAUGGCUAUGCACUCAAUGUCAUCUUAUUAUAUAAUAAGAAUUGCUCAAUAUAUAAGAAGAAUUGCUUUUAAAUGCCAUUACUACAUGUUGCUACUAGUGUAGGUACAAAUCACACUUUUUUGCUAUGCUUUUGCUUCAUGCAAGUAAAGA